Molecule: ribosomal RNA, 494 nt
Filed under: uncultured bacterium
Lineage: Bacteria
Description: partial 16S ribosomal RNA
Rfam family: Bacterial small subunit ribosomal RNA
Source: RNAcentral
GACGAACGCUGGCGGCGUGCUUAACACAUGCAAGUCGAACGGAAAGGCCUGCUUUCCCUUGUGGAUUGCGGGUACUCGAGUGGCGAACGGGUGAGUAACACGUGAGUGAUCUGCCCCCAACUUGGGUAUAAGCCUGGGAAACUGGGUCUAAUUCCCGAUAGGACUGCAGGGUGGUGCCUGUGGUGGAAAACGAUUUUCUAGUGGUUGGGGAUGAGCUCGCGGCCUAUCAGCUUGUUGGUGGGGUAAUGGCCUACCAAGGCGGCGACGGGUAGCCGGCCUGGGAGGGUGGACGGCCACAUUGGGACUGAGAUACGGCCCAGACUACUACGGGAGGCAGCAGUGGGGAAUAUUGCACAAUGGGCGGAAGCCUGAUGCAGCGACGCCGCGUGGGGGAUGACGGCCUUCGGGUGGUAAACUCCUUUCGACCGCGAGGAAGCCACCUGGUUGGAAGGGUGGUGACGGUAGUGGUAGAAGAAGCACCGGCUAACUACGUG